GCUAAAUUCCCAGCAUCAGGACAAGAUGCCUCUCCUCAUCGAAAUGGAAUCUAUCACACUGGGAUUUCAACAAAUUUGCCAGAUGGACAGCAACCUGCAAACCAUCAGACCAGCCCCAACACCCAUCACCAUAUCAGUCCCAAUCCAAACCAAGGAAAAACAUGGUUCCUGACUUCAUGGAAGGCACAUCCAUCAGAGAAGACAGACACUAAACAAGUAAACAGGUUUUCUCUGGCACCCGGAACCCAGGACUUCACUCUGGCCGCAGCGGAGAAGUCAAGCCUCUUCAGUUUUCAGUCAUCUUCAGUCUUCAGACUUCACUUGGACUGGAGCCUUCAGUCUUUGCCUUGCACCUGUGUAUGCA
This is a long non-coding RNA of Myotis davidii, 364 nucleotides long. RefSeq lists it as uncharacterized. The record is from RefSeq and is a predicted model, not a curated record. NCBI's taxonomy places the organism in Eukaryota, Metazoa, Chordata, Mammalia, Chiroptera, Vespertilionidae. The transcript is spliced from 3 exons.